GGGAGUAAGGAUAUGAAUGAAUAAGUUAGUUAAAAGUUAGAGAACCAAGUUGAUUAUAUUGCAUUCAGUUUAAAGAUGAAAUAUAUGAAGCAGCAUAGCACUGAGAUUCCUAAAAGAUGAAAAUCAAUCCAUGCCUAUUACCCAGUUAUGCAGGGAAGAGACUUUGCUGCUCCAGGGAUUCAUGCAAUGUGGUUCUUAAAAAAAGGAAAACCUUAAUUUGGAUCAUGAAACGUUUACAUUUUAUUCUGAUUUCACAUUACUGAUAUUUCAUUAAUAGGCUGUCUUUCUGUAGUCUGACUACAGCCCGGUCUCUUGGCUGUGUUUUAAGCACAUCAGAGUCAUCUGAGGAGACUUCAAAUAGACACUGUCUGAGCAUCACCUGGAUCUUGCUGCAGUGGAAUGUUCCAAGUCAGCUGGGUCAGCCAUAUUCUUCUAGCUCUGUAUUCCAUUGAAAAUACAGAAGAUGUAGGUCUGUGCAUGCCCUACCGAGGUCCCUAGUCAUGUGGAAGAUGCCAAAUCACCCCGCUGCAGAGAGGCAGCCACCUGGUUCCACACUACAAAGACACAGAGGACACCAGACCACCAGACCAAGAGGCUGGGAAGUCCAAGAGCAUGGCGUCUGAAUCGUCUCUGCUUCUAGUGAGGGCCUCAUGGUGGAAGAGCAAGAGAAUGAAUGCAGAAGAGGAAGAAUCUCACUUUAUAAC
Heterocephalus glaber (naked mole-rat) is the source of this 704-nucleotide long non-coding RNA. Lineage: Eukaryota; Metazoa; Chordata; Mammalia; Rodentia; Bathyergidae. The record is from Ensembl.